GCGGGGAUAGCUCAGUUGGGAGAGCGUCAGACUGAAGUUAAACUUCAUCAUCUGUCUAUCUGAAGGUCGUGUGUUCGAUCCACACUCACCGCA
Molecule: transfer RNA, 93 nt
Filed under: Poronia punctata
Lineage: Eukaryota; Fungi; Ascomycota; Sordariomycetes; Xylariales; Xylariaceae
Description: tRNA-Phe
Rfam family: tRNA
About the family: Transfer RNA (tRNA) molecules are approximately 80 nucleotides in length.
Source: RNAcentral